Molecule: long non-coding RNA, 3184 nt
Filed under: Oryza sativa (Asian cultivated rice)
Lineage: Eukaryota; Viridiplantae; Streptophyta; Magnoliopsida; Poales; Poaceae
Description: long non-coding RNA (OSAT_LNC001070)
Source: RNAcentral
GUGCCCGUGCCGGACCGGGCCGUGCCGCCCGUUUGGCCACCUAUACCUGGGACGGCGGCGCGGGGGCGAGUGCUGGUGCCCAUUUUAUCUGGUUGGCAUAAAAGAUUUAUUUCCCAAAUGCAUUGUCAGUAAAGAUGAACAUGGCUGAAGAAACACGUGCAGUGUUCAGAAACAGCAUCCCUCAGCCCUAGACAACAGAUACUGUCAAUUCCACAGUGACACAUAAAGACAACUGAAGCAGGACACACAAACAUGACAGACUGAACUAGUUAUUAUCGAGUUAAUCCUGAACUAGUGCUGCCUCUAAACUCUGAACUAUUUAGUCAUCGAGCUACGAUGAUAGGCAUCAUAUCAGUGAUGAUCAAACCACGGCAAAAAGCCAUCGAUGUCAUCGAACUGGUAGAGGCAAGCCAGCUCCAGUGGAUCCAUGAUGUUCAGAGGGAUCGGAGAUAUCCUCAAACAUUUCCUUAGCUAGGAUACAUGGAAUACUGGGUGUAUGUCCGACAUUCCUUCUGGUAGCUCCAGGAGGUAUGCUACCGCUCCAACCUUUUUCAAUACUUGAUAUGGUCCAAUGUAACGAGGUGCCAAUUUUCCUUGUAUCUGAAACCUUCGAGUCCCUCGAAUAGGCGAAACCUUAAGAUAGACAAAGUCUCCCGGCUCAAAGCUUACUUCUCGUCUCUUCUUGUCCGCGUAGCUUUUCUGACGAGACUGGGCGGCUUUCAACUUCUCUCUGAUUUCAGCUACCCUUUCUUCCGCUUCCUUUAUGAAUGCGGGUCCAACUAGUGCACGCUCUCCAACUUCCGACCACAUCAGAGGAGUCCUGCACUUCCUCCCAUAGAGGGCUUCAAAUGGCGACAUGCCCAAGCUUGCUUGAUAACCGUUGUUGUAUGAGAAUUCUGCAUAGGGUAAACUCUGCUCCCAGUCCUUGCCAUAAGUAAGGACGCAUGCUCUUAACAUAUCCUCCAUAAUCUGGUUUACUCUUUCGGUUUGGCCAUCGGUUUGUGGGUGAUAGGCGGAGCUGAAAUCCAAUUUGGUGCCCAUAGCUUUAUGCAAGCUCUUCCAAAACCUAGAGGUGAACUGAGUUCCUCGAUCUGAAACAAUUCUGCUGGGCACACCAUGCAACUUUACUAUGGAGGUCCUGGUGAAGGAUAACUCUUGUAAACUUAGAAGGAUAAUCUGGGUAACUAGACAAGGAUAAAUCUCCCAACCUACGGAAGGAUAAGUCUGUGUCCUACAAAAGGAUAAAUCUAGUAACUUAGAAGGAUAAGUGGAGGUCCUGGUGAAGGAUAACUCUUGUAAACUUAGAAGGAUAAUCUGGGUAACUAGACAAGGAUAAAUCUCCCAACCUACGGAAGGAUAAGUCUCUGUCCUACAAAAGGAUAAAUCUAGUAACUUAGAAGGAUAAGUGGAGGUCCUGGUGAAGGAUAACUCUUGUAAACUUAGAAGGAUAAUCUGGGUAACUAGACAAGGAUAAAUCUCCCAAUCUACGGAAGGAUAAGUCUCUGUCCUACACAAGGAUAAAUCUAGUAACUUAGAAGGAUAAGUGGAGGUCCUGGUGAAGGAUAACUCUUGUAAACUUAGAAGGAUAAUCUGGGUAACUAGACAAGGAUAAAUCUCCCAACCUACAGAAGGAUAAGUCUGUGUCCUACACAAGGAUAAAUCUAGUAACUUAGAAGGAUAAGUGGAGGUCCUGGUGAAGGACAACUCUUGUAAACUUAGAAGGAUAAUCUGGGUAACUAGACAAGGAUAAAUCUCCCAACCUACGGAAGGAUAAGUCUGUGUCCUACACAAGGAUAAAUCUAGUAACUUAGAAGGAUAAGUGGAGGUCCUGGUGAAGGAUAACUCUUGUAAACUUAGAAGGAUAAUCUGGGUAACUAGACAAGGAUAAAUCUCCCAACCUACGGAAGGAUAAGUCUGUGUCCUACACAAGGAUAAAUCUAGUAACUUAGAAGGAUAAGUGGGAGUCCUCCUGAAAGAUAAUCGUAGUAAAUUUCCAACUAUGACGAAGAAGGAUAAUUCGGGCCACUGCAGAAGGCUAAAUCUAAUAAUCUACGCAAGGAUAAGUCUGUGUGCUAGGAAAGGAAUAAGUGGGAGUCCUACAGAAGGAUAAGUUGGAGUCGUACAGAAGGAUAAUUUCAAUGACUGCAGAAGGAUAAAUAUAGUAAUCUUCCAACUCUGUCGACGAAGGAUAAUUCGGGUCACUAAGGAAGGAUAAAUCUUCCAACCAACCCAAGGAUAAGUCUGUGUCCUACAAAAGGAUAAAUCUAGUAACUUAGAAGGAUAAGUAGAGGUCCUCGUGAAGGAUAAAUCUUGUAAACUUAGAAGGAUAAUUUGGGUAACUAGACAAGGAUAAAUCUCCCAACCUACGAAAGGAUAAGGCUGUGUCCUACACAAGGAUAAAUCUGGUAAACUUAGAAGGAUAAGUGGGAGUCCUCCUGAAACAUAAUCGUAGUGGGAGUCCCAUCACCGUUCCUAUUGACCAAGCGAAAGUCGGUUUUGCCUCCUGAAACAUAAUCGUAGUGGAUUUGCCUAUCUCUGAAUCAGAGAUGCAGAUGCUGGUAGCCCGGUUGUUUAGGGUUCUGGCCAUAAACUUUCUGUUAUCUUUCUAAACAAUUUCACGCAUUUUGUAAUUUUCGUAUACCAAGUUUUUUCUAUCUAUCGUUUAAUAAAACUAGCGUCUAAGCUUUUGGCGGGCUUAGAGCAAAACAGGCCAAAAAACAAUGCAAAAUGCUCUCAGCUCAGGUCUAGUUAUCCUUGUUUGUUAUCCUACAUCCAACUUAUCCGUCUCAAGUUAUCCUUCAUCCAGUUAUCCUUGUCUUCAGUUAUCCGCAUCCAGUUAUCCUUGUCUGCCGUUAUCCUUCACAAGCCCCAACAGCGAUGAUAAGUAUAUAAGCCAUCACAGGUCGCAUAAUAGAGCUCACAAGGUCAGGUAAUAUAAGAACCAACAGCGAUGAUAAUAAUAAGUAUAUAAGCCAUCACAGGUCGCAUAAUAGAGCUCACAAGGUCAGGUAAUAUAAGAACCAACAGCGAUGAUAAUAAUAAGUAUAUAAGCCAUCACAGGUUCACGGUAGUAUUUACCACAAAUACCAACAGUUAAAUAGCUGUACACAUUGUUGGCAAAAAAGACCACAGUUCACAUAGCAAAAUACUAAGUGCUAAGAUAGAAAUUCAUCUAGAUAGCUAU